This 486-nucleotide ribosomal RNA is filed under the name uncultured bacterium. Its description in RNAcentral is "bacterial SSU rRNA". It matches the Rfam family "Bacterial small subunit ribosomal RNA", at positions 29 to 524 of the family's 1533-position model. The record is from RNAcentral.
AUUGAACGCUGGCGGCAUGCUUUACACAUGCAAGUCGAGCGGCAGCGCGGGACUCAGGCAACUGAGCCCUGGCGGCGAGCGGCGAACGGGUGAGGAAUACAUCGGAACGUGUCCCGUAGUGGGGGAUAGCUCGGCGAAAGCCGGAUUAAUACCGCAUAUGCUCUACGGAGGAAAGCCGGGGACCUGCAAGGGCCUGGCGCUAUGGGAGCGGCCGAUGCCGAUUAGCUAGUUGGUGAGGUAAAGGCUCACCAAGGCGACGAUCGGUAGCUGGUCUGAGAGGAUGAUCAGCCACACUGGGACUGAGACACGGCCCAGACUCCUACGGGAGGCAGCAGUGGGAAUUUUGGACAAUGGGGCAACCCUGAUCCAGCCAUGCCGCGUGCGGGAUGAAGGAUCUAGGUCUGUAAACUCCUUUUGUUGGGAAAGACUUAGGACGGUACCCAACGAAUAAGCACCGGCUAACUACGUGACAGCCGCCGCAGUAAU